CAAUAGCGUAUAUUAAAGUUGUUGCAGUUAAAAAGCUCGUAGUUGGAUCUCGGGGACGGUCCGGCGGUGCUCCUCGCGGAGUUAUACUGCCGCGCAUCGUUCUCACCUCGCCGGCUCGUCUAGGGUGGACUUCGUUGGACGCCCUAGUUGGCCGGGACGUUUACUUUGAAAAAAUUAGAGUGUUCAAAGCAGGCAGCUUCGCCUGAAUACUGGUGCAUGGAAUAAUGGAAUAGGAUCUCGGUUCUAUUUUGUUGGUUUUUGGAAGUCGAGGUAAUGAUAAAUAGGGACGAUCCGGGGGCAUUCGUAUUGCACGGUUAGAGGUGAAAUUCUUGGAUCCGUGCAAGACGAACUACAGCGAAGGCGUCUGCCAAGUGCGUCUUCAUUAAUCAAGAGCGACAGUCAGAGGUUCGAAGACGAUCAGAUACCGUCGUAGUUCUGACCAUAAACGAUGCCAGCUAGGGAUGGGCGGACGUUGCACGACGACUCCGCCCGGACCUUCCGGGAAACCAAAGCUUUUAGGUUCCGGGGGAAGUAUGGUUGCAAAGCUGAAACUUAAAGGAAUUGACGGAAGG
This 572-nucleotide ribosomal RNA is filed under the name Pygospio elegans. Its description in RNAcentral is "SSU rRNA". It matches the Rfam family "Eukaryotic small subunit ribosomal RNA", at positions 592 to 1163 of the family's 1831-position model. The record is from RNAcentral. Lineage: Eukaryota; Metazoa; Annelida; Polychaeta; Spionida; Spionidae.